This 253-nucleotide ribosomal RNA is filed under the name uncultured bacterium. RNAcentral's name for it is "partial 16S ribosomal RNA". It matches the Rfam family "Bacterial small subunit ribosomal RNA", at positions 524 to 776 of the family's 1533-position model. The record is from RNAcentral.
UACGAAGGGGGCUAGCGUUGCUCGGAAUCACUGGGCGUAAAGCGCACGUAGGCGGACUCUUAAGUCGGUGGUGAAAUCCUGGAGCUCAACUCCAGAACUGCCUUCGAUACUGAGAGUCUUGAGUCCGGGAGAGGUGAGUGGAACUGCGAGUGUAGAGGUGAAAUUCGUAGAUAUUCGCAAGAACACCAGUGGCGAAGGCGGCUUACUGGCCCGGUACUGACGCUGAGGUGCGAAAGCGUGGGGAGCAAACAGG